CCAAUCGGAUCCAAGAAAUUGCACCAAUCACGUGCCGUCCUGACCAUUCCCGUCAUCCUCCAGACGCACGCGGGUUCGUGAAUGUCGUUGGAGCCGAUCGGCAGCUCUCAUGCCUUUUAGUUUUCGAAGUAGCGGUGGUUAGUACUCCGCGGGAGCACAGGUUUUGGUACAAUGGAAAACCAGUAUGGAGCUGUGAACUGGGGCCACUACUAUAUGGGAGGUGGACCACCUGUCCCUUGGUACCACUAUCCUCCACCUGCAUCAUUUCUCCAGCCAGGAUUUCAGCAUCGUUCCUAUGGCUUUGUAGUGCCACAAGGCUACGGCUUACAUCAAUCAUAUUGGAAUGGGAACUACCAGAAUUGUGCCUGGCCAGACCCUUCUAAUGGAACUAUAAAGGAAGUAGCACCACCUGUGCCUAUCAAAGGAGAGAAAUUAGAGAAAGAAACUUGCCCCCUUGGCCCUGACAGUCAUGACCCUCUGCCUAUGGAUAUUUCACCAUGUGCAAGUCCUACACUAACCUCUCCGACAACAUGUGUGACAAACAUUUCUAGCACUAACCUCUCCAACAUAUCGCCAAUAAAAUCUCCAAUUUCCAGAACUGAUCCCAUGCUGAAAAAGGAUACCUUACGUGCCAGUCCAAAGACAUCAUGUGUGUUGAAAACGGUGAAAUUUCCUUCCAUUGAUUUAUCAGAGACAUCAUCGUCUGUAUUGUCGUUAUUGACAAAGUGCAAUGCUUGCAUGAAGACAUUGUUGGCACAAGCCAAAGGCACUGAAGUUACAGCUGAACCAUGUACAUGUCACACAAAGCAGGAAGUAGCUCCAGACUUCCAAAGUAAGCCUGAAAGUACAACAGUAUAUGAACCACCGAAGACUCAGGCUUUUGUCAAUGAUUCACUUAUGAAGCAUAGGCCUAAAGAGGUCACCGUAACUAGAAUGGCUGAGGAACCCCCGAAGCGUGUGGUAAUUCAACGAGUAGAUGGUGUGGCAAGGCUUUUUGCUGUCUCUGAUGAAAUGCCCUUGCUGCAAAAGUCUGAAAACAUCCAAACAAGAGAAACAGUGCAGCUACAAGAGAGUCCAUUCACCACCAGAAGCAACAAAGGAGUGUAUUGCGACGCUCUCGCCGUUACAGAACCUUGUCUGCAGCAGUGGAGUAGUAGCACGGAUGAUCCUUUGAAGUCUGUACUUGAGACGGAAGGAAACUGUAUUGAAAAUGUAUGUCCAAAUCAGGCCAUCUCAGAAUGUAACACUUCACUGCAUACAUCCACAGAACCUGUUUCGGAGCACAAGAAUGCAAGAACUCAUUGUUGGAGACGGCGUGGGAGGCAAAAAGGGGAUAUGAAGAAUCAGUACUUAUUGAAAUGUGUACCUCCAGUAUUGGCUGGUGUAUCACCAUGUGACCUUGGAGAAGACAUGAAUGCCAGUAAAGACUGCUUAUUCCUCCGGUCUGCAGCUUUAGUGUCUACUGAUGCAGUAUUGUCAGCAAGCACCAGCUGCAUGCAAAAGGUAGCAAAUUCUGAAGUGUCUCAUCUUGCCCAUAGGGCUCAGAAAUGCACCGACAAUAGAACUGAACACAGCCCAACAAACCAGUGCUCCUUCUCCGACAUCUCAUCUCAUCAAAUGCCUCCAGAUGAGCUCUUGAACUGUGGGCAAGAAGUUAGUCAAGCAAGCGUAGAUGUUCAUGUUAGUGACGUUUGUUCAAGUACAUGCAUUGAUAAACUUUGUACCAGUGAUGUGGUUGUAGGAGGAAAGUUGACAGGUGUCUAUACAUCAGGACCAGCGAUUGAGCGAUUAUUUACUUCUAUUGAAAUGAAAGUGGAUCCGAAAUUCGGUGGUUGUGUGGAACAUAUAGAUGUACCAUUGGAACUUCUAUCACAAGUUGAAAAGCUUGACGAAGGCUGGAUAUGCUCUUUUGAAUGAUUAUGUUGUAUAUAAUAUGUGAAUCCGGUAAUGAAUGUUCAUAUGUAUGCGAAUAUAA
Molecule: long non-coding RNA, 1975 nt
Organism: Dermacentor albipictus
Lineage: Eukaryota; Metazoa; Arthropoda; Arachnida; Ixodida; Ixodidae
Source: RefSeq, a predicted model, not a curated record